This 266-nucleotide ribosomal RNA is filed under the name uncultured bacterium. Its description in RNAcentral is "partial 16S ribosomal RNA". It matches the Rfam family "Bacterial small subunit ribosomal RNA", at positions 793 to 1055 of the family's 1533-position model. The record is from RNAcentral.
GUCCACGCCGUAAACGAUGAGUGCUAAGUGUUAGGGGGUUUCCACCCCUUAGUGCUGCAGCUAACGCAUUAAGCACUCCGCCUGGGGAGUACGGUCGCAAGACUGAAACUCAAAGGAAUUGACGGGGGCCCGCACAAGCGGUGGAGCAUGUGGUUUAAUUCGAAGCAACGCGAAGAACCUUACCAGGUCUUGACAUCCCGCUGACCGCUAUGGAGACAUAGUCUUCCCUUCGGGGACAGCGGUGACAGGUGGUGCAUGGUUGUCGU